Molecule: ribosomal RNA, 493 nt
Filed under: uncultured bacterium
Lineage: Bacteria
Description: partial 16S ribosomal RNA
Rfam family: Bacterial small subunit ribosomal RNA
Source: RNAcentral
GACGAACGCUGGCGGCGUGCUUAACACAUGCAAGUCGAACGGUGAAGCGCCUUCCUUUUUGGUGGGUGUGGAUGAGUGGCGAACGGGUGAGUAACACGUGAGUAACCUGCCCCCUUCUUCUGGAUAACCGCAUGAAAGUGUGGCUAAUACGGGAUAUUCUGGGUCUGUCGCAUGAUGGGUCUGGGAAAGAUAUUGUUUCGGUGGGGGAUGGGCUCGCGGCCUAUCAGCUUGUUGGUGGGGUGAUGGCCUACCAAGGCGGUGACGGGUAGCCGGCCUGAGAGGGUGGACGGUCACACUGGGACUGAGACACGGCCCAGACUACUACGGGAGGCAGCAGUGGGGAAUAUUGCACAAUGGGCGCAAGCCUGAUGCAGCGACGCCGCGUGAGGGAUGGAGGCCUUCGGGUUGUGAACCUCUUUCGCCAGUGAAGCAGGCCUGCCUCGUUUGUGGGUGGGUUGACGGUAGCUGGAUAAGAAGCGCCGGCUAACUACGU